AAAACGCCAUGGAAGGUCUGAAAGCUGCUGGUUUUUCAUACUUUGACAUAUGUGAGUUCAAUUCUUGCCCUUUUCUUUGAGAUUUUUAUGUUUUUGUGACUUUUACAAUUAAGUCCAAGUGUUUAAUUCAUUAGUUUUUUAUUUUAUGGACAAAAUUAAAAGUUAUCAUUGACAAGUGUUGGCUGUUUAUGAUGAAUUAAAAUGAAUUUGAAGCUUUGAUUUUAUUGUUUGAUGAUUUUAUCAAGUAAUUUCAAUAGAAAUUGAUUUUAGGACCUAAUUAUGAGAAAGUUGUGAUUAAGGUUUAGUGUUAAAAUUCUAAUUUUCAAAGGUUGUGUAAUAGUUUAGAAUGAUGGAAUAAAAUUUUCAUUGAGAAAAAUUAGCUUAUUAGAUGAGCUAAUUGAGCAAGGACUGAAUUGUAUGACUUGUGAAAUUUAGAGGAAAAAUGGUAAUAAACAUCUUGAACUAAAACAGUUUUGGACAGCAGCAGUAGGCUAAUUUUGCAAAAUCACCAUAAAUUGUAAAAAUCGAAUUAGAGGAUGAAUAAUAUAUGAAAUUAAAGCUUAUUGAGUCUAAUUUCUCAUAGAAGAAACGGUGUAAGCAAUUGAAUUGUAAAUUAUGUGCUAUAAUGAGUUUUGUGAGAUAAGGUCAGAAUAAAUUCGGAUUCCCCUGUUUUAAAUUUAUAAAAUCACCAAAAAUUGGAGAAAAUUAAUUAGAGGCUCAAAUUUAUAUGCUUAGAAUCUUUAAUGAGUCUAUUUUCAAUAGAAAUCAACGGGAACAUUAUCCGAGUUCUGUACUGUGAUAUAAUUAAUUUUUAGUGAAGAGAGAUCAGAACUGUUGGAUAGUGAAACAGGGGAAACUUAAAUGAAUAAACUGUACUAAUUGGCUAAAUCAAAAAUUAUGAAAUUUUUAUGGUAAGAAGACAUAUGAGUCUAGUUUCUGGGAAAAUUUAUGGAUCUUAAUUUGGAAUUCUGUAGCUCAAGAUAAAAAUAAUUUAGUAACUAUAACACAGAUGGACAGCGUGAAUAUUCACAUAAGUAGAUAGUGAAAA
Molecule: long non-coding RNA, 1048 nt
Filed under: Gossypium barbadense (sea-island cotton)
Lineage: Eukaryota; Viridiplantae; Streptophyta; Magnoliopsida; Malvales; Malvaceae
Description: long non-coding RNA (GBAR_LNC011684)
Source: RNAcentral